AUUGAACGCUGGCGGCAUGCCUUACACAUGCAAGUCGAACGGCAGCACGGGAGCAAUCCUGGUGGCGAGUGGCGAACGGGUGAGUAAAGUAUCGGAACGUGCCCAGUCGUGGGGGAUAACGUAGCGAAAGUUACGCUAAUACCGCAUACGAUCUAUGGAUGAAAGCGGGGGAUCGCAAGACCUCGCGCGAUUGGAGCGGCCGAUAUCAGAUCAGGUAGUUGGUGGGGUAAAGGCUCACCAAGCCGACGAUCUGUAGCUGGUCUGAGAGGACGACCAGCCACACUGGGACUGAGACACGGGCCAGACUCCUACGGGAGGCAGCAGUGGGGAAUUUUGGACAAUGGGCGAAAGCCUGAUCCAGCCAUGCCGCGUGCAGGAUGAAGGCCUUCGGGUUGUAAACUGCUUUUGUACGGAACGAAAAGGUUUGGCCUAAUAAGCUGAGCUCAUGACGGUACCGUAAGAAUAAGCACCGGCUAACUACGUGCCAGCCGCCGCAGUAA
RNAcentral lists this ribosomal RNA (500 nucleotides) under uncultured bacterium. RNAcentral describes it as "partial 16S ribosomal RNA". It matches the Rfam family "Bacterial small subunit ribosomal RNA", at positions 30 to 523 of the family's 1533-position model. The record is from RNAcentral.